GAUGAAGAACGUAGCGAAAUGCGAUAAGUAAUGUGAAUUGCAGAAUUCAGUGAAUCAUCGAAUCUUUGAACGCACAUUGCGCCCGCUAGUAUUCUGGCGGGCAUGCCUGUCCGAGCGUCAUUUCAACCCUCAAGCCCCUGGCUUGGUGUUGGGGAUCGGCGAGCCUCCGCGCCCGCCGUCCCCUAAAUCUAGUGGCGGUCUCGCUGUAGCUUCCUCUGCGUAGUAGCACACCUCGCACUGGGAAACAGCGCGGCCACGCCGUUAAACCCCCAACUUCUGAACGUUUGACCUCGGAUCAGGUAGGAAUACCCGCUGAACUUAAGCAUAUCAAUAAGCGGAGGA
RNAcentral lists this unclassified non-coding RNA (342 nucleotides) under soil metagenome. RNAcentral describes it as "partial contains 5.8S ribosomal RNA, internal transcribed spacer 2, and large subunit ribosomal RNA". The stretch from base 1 to 120 matches the Rfam family "5.8S ribosomal RNA", at positions 35 to 154 of the family's 154-position model. The record is from RNAcentral.